This 371-nucleotide ribosomal RNA is filed under the name uncultured Platyophrya. RNAcentral's name for it is "SSU rRNA". It matches the Rfam family "Eukaryotic small subunit ribosomal RNA", at positions 585 to 972 of the family's 1831-position model. The record is from RNAcentral. Lineage: Eukaryota; Ciliophora; Colpodea; Cyrtolophosidida; Platyophryidae.
CCAGCUCCAAUAGCGUAUAUUAAAGUUGUUGCAGUUAAAAAGCUCGUAGUCGAAGUUCUGGCUGGUCCUGUUUUUGGCUCCGGUCGACUCAGGACCUAGUCAUCCGUCGGAGAACCCUUGUCGUCCUUUACUGGUCGCUUGGGGGAACUGACCCUUUACUUUGAAAAAAUUAGAGUGUUUCAGGCAGGCUCUCGCCCGAAUACUCCAGCAUGGAAUAAUGGAAUAGGACUUUCUUCUAUUUUGUUGGUUAUUAGUGGAAAGUAAUGAUUAAUAGGGACAGUUGGGGGCAUUCGUACUUAAUUGUCAGAGGUGAAAUUCUUGGAUUUAUUAAAGACGAACUAAUGCGAAAGCAUUUGCCAAGGAUGUUUUCA